UGGGGAAUAUUGCACAAUGGGCGCAAGCCUGAUGCAGCCAUGCCGCGUGUAUGAAGAAGGCCUUCGGGUUGUAAAGUACUUUCAGCGAGGAGGAAGGCGGUAAGGUUAAUAACCUUAUCGAUUGACGUUACUCGCAGAAGAAGCACCGGCUAACUCCGUGCCAGCAGCCGCGGUAAUACGGAGGGUGCAAGCGUUAAUCGGAAUUACUGGGCGUAAAGCGCACGCAGGCGGUCUGUCAAGUCGGAUGUGAAAUCCCUGGGCUCAACCUGGGAACUGCAUUCGAAACUGGCAGGCUAGAGUCUUGUAGAGGGGGGUAGAAUUCCAGGUGUAGCGGUGAAAUGCGUAGAGAUCUGGAGGAAUACCGGUGGCGAAGGCGGCCCCUGGACAAAGACUGACGCUCAGGUGCGAAAGCGUGGGGAGCAAACA
Molecule: ribosomal RNA, 426 nt
Filed under: uncultured bacterium
Lineage: Bacteria
Description: partial 16S ribosomal RNA
Rfam family: Bacterial small subunit ribosomal RNA
Source: RNAcentral